This 489-nucleotide ribosomal RNA is filed under the name uncultured bacterium. Its description in RNAcentral is "partial 16S ribosomal RNA". It matches the Rfam family "Bacterial small subunit ribosomal RNA", at positions 30 to 506 of the family's 1533-position model. The record is from RNAcentral.
AUUGAACGCUGGCGGCAGGCCUAACACAUGCCAGUCGAACGGUAACAGGAAGAAGCUUGCUUCUUUGCUGACGAGUGGCGGACGGGUGAGUAAUGUCUGGGAAACUGCCUGAUGGAGGGGGAUAACUACUGGAAACGGUAGCUAAUACCGCAUAACGUCGCAAGACCAAAGUGGGGGACCUUCGGGCCGCUUGCCAUCGGAUGUGCCCAGAUGGGAUUAGCUAGUAGGUGGUGUAACGGCUCACCUAGGCGACGAUCCCUAGCUGGUCUGAGAGGAUGACCGGCCACACUGGAACUGAGACACGGCCCAGACUCCUAGGGGGGGCAGAAGUGGGGAAUAUUGCACAAGGGGCGAAAGCCUGAGGCAGCCAUGCCGCGUGUAUGAAGAAGGCCUUCGGGUUGUAAAGUACUUUCAGCGGGGAGGAAGGGAGUAAAGUUAAUACCUUUGCUCAUUGACGUUACCCGCAGAAGAAGCACCGGCUAACUCCGU